Molecule: ribosomal RNA, 1494 nt
Filed under: metagenome
Description: bacterial SSU rRNA
Rfam family: Bacterial small subunit ribosomal RNA
Source: RNAcentral
AGAGUUUGAUCCUGGCUCAGAUUGAACGCUGGCGGCAUGCCUUACACAUGCAAGUCGAACGGCAGCACGGGGGCAACCCUGGUGGCGAGUGGCGAACGGGUGAGUAACACAUCGGAACGUACCCAGUUGUGGGGGAUAACCCACCGAAAGGUGGGCUAAUACCGCAUGAUCUGGCGACAGCAAAGCGGGGGACUGGUAACGGCCUCGCGCGAUUGAAGCGGCCGAUGUCCGAUUAGCUAGUUGGUGGGGUAAAGGCCUACCAAGGCGACGAUCGGUAGCUGGUCUGAGAGGAUGAUCAGCCACACUGGGACUGAGACACGGCCCAGACUCCUACGGGAGGCAGCAGUGGGGAAUUUUGGACAAUGGGGGCAACCCUGAUCCAGCCAUGCCGCGUGAGUGAAGAAGGCCUUCGGGUUGUAAAGCUCUUUCGGUGGGAACGAAACGGUGGAUGCUAAUACCAUCCACUACUGACGGUACUCAUAGAAGAAGCACCGGCCAACUACGUGCCAGCAGCCGCGGUAAUACGUAGGGUGCGAGCGUUAAUCGGAAUUACUGGGCGUAAAGCGUGCGCAGGCGGUUAUUUAAGUCAGGUGUGAAAGCCCUGGGCUUAACCUAGGAACAGCGCUUGAGACUGGAUAGCUUGGAGUGCGGCAGAGGGAGGUGGAAUUCCACGUGUAGCAGUGAAAUGCGUAGAUAUGUGGAGGAACACCGAUGGCGGAGGCAGCCUCCUGGGCCAGCACUGACGCUCAUGCACGAAAGCGUGGGGAGCAAACAGGAUUAGAUACCCUGGUAGUCCACGCCCUAAACGAUGUCGACUGGUUGUUGGUGGGGUUAAACCCAUUAGUAACGAAGCUAACGCGUGAAGUCGACCGCCUGGGGAGUACGGCCGCAAGGUUAAAACUCAAAGGAAUUGACGGGGACCCGCACAAGCGGUGGAUGAUGUGGAUUAAUUCGAUGCAACGCGAAGAACCUUACCUACCCUUGACAUGUACGGAAGCCUGCUGAGAGGUGGGUGUGCCCGAAAGGGAGCCGUAACACAGGUGCUGCAUGGCUGUCGUCAGCUCGUGUCGUGAGAUGUUGGGUUAAGUCCCGCAACGAGCGCAACCCUUGUCACUAGUUGCUACGCAAGGGCACUCUAGUGAGACUGCCGGUGACAAACCGGAGGAAGGUGGGAUGACGUCAAGUCCUCAUGGCCCUUAUGGGUAGGGCUUCACACGUCAUACAAUGGCGCAUACAGAGGGCUGCCAACCCGCGAGGGGGAGCCAAUCCCAGAAAGUGCGUCGUAGUCCGGAUUGCAGUCUGCAACUUGACUGCAUGAAGUCGGAGUCGCUAGUAAUCGCGGAUCAGCAAUGUCGCGGUGAAUACGUUCCCGGGUCUUGUACACACCGCCCGUCACACCAUGGGAGUGGGUUUCACCAGAAGCCGGUUGCCUAACCGCAAGGGGGGCGCUGACCACGGUGAGAUUCAUGACUGGGGUGAAGUCGAAACAAGGUA